UGCCGACAACGGGUAGCCGGGUUGAGAGACCGACCGGCCAGAUUGGGACUGAGACACGGCCCAGACUCCUACGGGAGGCAGCAGUGGGGAAUCUUGCGCAAUGGGGGGAACCCUGACGCAGCGACGCCGCGUGCGGGACGGAGGCCUUCGGGUCGUAAACCGCUUUCAGCAGGGAAGAGUCAAGACUGUACCUGCAGAAGAAGCCCCGGCUAACUACGUGCCAGCAGCCGCGGUAAUACGUAGGGGGCGAGCGUUAUCCGGAUUCAUUGGGCGUAAAGCGCGCGUAGGCGGCCCGGCAGGCCGGGGGUCGAAGCGGGGGGCUCAACCCCCCGAAGCCCCCGGAACCUCCGCGGCUUGGGUCCGGUAGGGGAGGGUGGAACACCCGGUGUAGCGGUGGAAUGCGCAGAUAUCGGGUGGAACACCGGUGGCGAAGGCGGCCCUCUGGGCCGAGACCGACGCUGAGGCGCGAAAGCUGGGGGAGCGAACAGGAUUAGAUACCCUGGUAGUCCCAGCCGUAAACGAUGGACGCUAGGUGUGGGGGGGACGAUCCCCCCGUGCCCGCAGCCAACGCAUUAAGCGUCCCCGCCUGGGGAGUACGCCCGCAAGGUUAAAACUCAAAAGGAAUUGACGGGGGCCCGCACAAGCAGCGGAGCAUGUGGGCUUAAUUCGAAGCAACGCGAAGAACCUUACCAGGGCUUGACAUUUGGGUGAAGCGGGGGAGACCCCGUGGCCGAGAGGAGCCCAUACAGGUGGUGCAUGGCUGUCGUCAGCUCGUGUCGUGAGAUGUUGGGUUAAGUCCCGCAACGAGCGCAACCCCCGCCGCGUGUUGCCAUCGGGUGAUGCCGGGAACCCACGCGGGACCGCCGCCGUCAAGGCGGAGGAGGGCGGGGACGACGUCAAGUCAUCAUGCCCCUUAUGCCCUGGGCUGCACACGUGCUACAAUGGCCGGUACAGAGGGAUGCCACCCCGCGAGGGGGAGCGGAUCCCGGAAAGCCGGCCCCAGUUCGGAUUGGGGGCUGCAACCCGCCACCAUGAAGUCGGAGUUGCUAGUAAUCGCGGAUCAGCAUGCCGCGGUGAAUGCGUUCCCGGGCCUUGCACACAAAGCCCGUCA
Molecule: ribosomal RNA, 1111 nt
Filed under: uncultured bacterium
Lineage: Bacteria
Description: bacterial SSU rRNA
Rfam family: Bacterial small subunit ribosomal RNA
Source: RNAcentral